GUGGUUCCGUGCAUUUAUGGGUACAUGGUAUUGCCAAACUCAUGAUUUCUGUUAUUCUUUCCUCACUCUUUUGUGCUUAAUCAGUUCCAUAGGCGUUUUGCCAAAUCUCUUUGCUAUUAAUAUUCUCUUCUUUCGGGCAAGACCUUCUUUGAUUGACAAGUUCAUCGAAUCUCAACCAUGGGAAAUUGGUAAGUGUGGCUUUGUACACUUUUGGCUCGAUUAUUUUAGCCAACUCCUGAUAUUUAUUUUUAUUUAUUUCAUUAUUCUUUAUAUGAAUAAAGAUAAUGGAUUACAUACGAAUGAGAGAGGGGAAGAGUAGUAGUAGUUGAUUUUUUAUAUGUUGGUAUAGCAGUCUAACAUAGAUGACUAUAUUUGAAAACUGGAGACCUAUACCAGAAACAAGCAUAUGUAAAACAUUAUUCCAUAUACAACACUUGACUCACCAUCUUCCUCUGGUAUAAUAUUUAAUAUAGUAUGUCUACCUGCGUAUUUAGAUACACUAAAGAUGGUAAUAAGAGAGUUCUGAAAUGAUAAGCUUGGCUCAUAUAAAUCGAGAAUUCAUUCGUGUCGCUUAGAGUAACAAAGACACGGUAUAAUUUGGUUAUCUUACCUAGGAUAGAGAUUUAAUUUUAUAAAUAAUAUACUUAAAACAAUCUCACUCAAUUAAUUAUAUAAGCAUUGUCAUAUAGCAAUAUUUAGUACAAACCAUCUCACUCAAUUCUUUCGAAAUGGUAAAAAAAAUCUGUUUGCGUUACUUCAAGAUUUUAUGUCUGCAUUACUCAUUUAAUAUUAAGUGUAAGGAAUUGUUAGAGAUGCUUUUACGAUAUGUUGCCAUCUCUUUUGUUUUUAGGCUUCACAUGGCUGGUACAUUGUACCCUUGC
RNAcentral lists this long non-coding RNA (881 nucleotides) under Aquilegia coerulea. RNAcentral's name for it is "long non-coding RNA (ACOE_LNC000212)". The record is from RNAcentral. Lineage: Eukaryota; Viridiplantae; Streptophyta; Magnoliopsida; Ranunculales; Ranunculaceae.